This is a long non-coding RNA of Balaenoptera ricei (Rice's whale), 3011 nucleotides long. RefSeq lists it as uncharacterized. The record is from RefSeq and is a predicted model, not a curated record. NCBI's taxonomy places the organism in Eukaryota, Metazoa, Chordata, Mammalia, Artiodactyla, Balaenopteridae. The transcript has 3 exons.
GGUUGGUUCAUGAAGAGCUUGCAACCCCUUGCCCAACACACAGCGAGCCCUGGGUAUCUGCCUGCUGUUAUCUGGGAGCUGACAUUCACGUACACAGGAGUGUUCUUGCGUGAGCGUGUGUACACGCACGCACACACACAUACACACACAGGCUCUGACCUAGAUGCCUCUCCCCUCUGCUCUCAUAGUACAACUGGGUCAGGCAUCUCUUACCUUCCUUCUCACACUAUUUAAAAUUGUUUACUUGUCCAUCUUCCCACCAGAUCUUAGGCUUUAUAAGGGCAGGGUCUUGUUUGUUUGUUUGCUUGUUUUUGCUCCCUUCUCUCUCUUCUUACACAAAGUUCGUUGGCUGAGUUGUCCAGCAGGACUCCAGGACACAAGAGGAAACGUGCUGUUACCACCAACAACUCAGGUGUUGAGACACUAGACCAGCUUGGUGAGCGCCCACCUGAUUUUUCCAGGAUCCGGCUGACGGCAUAGGCGGUCACUCCAGACCCCUUUCUACUCCUCCCCUUUCCCUGGUACCCAUGGGACUCAUUUGCCAGCCCCCCUCACCCCUACCCCUGGGCCCUGCCCCCAAAUCUUGAUCCUGCAAGUGCCCUCGGGAAUCUGGCAAAGCUGCCUACCUCCUUCCAGACAUCCUGAAUGUCGAGUGCCAGCGGGGAUCCUGCUUCGCCCUCCCUCUGGCCUCAGCAUUUCUCUCCCCCCCAUCUUGUGUUUAGCGACUUUCUUUCCUGCUUCCAUUUACUUCCGUUUCCCGUUCCUCCUGGCCUAAGCUCCGGGCCUGCGCUGGGCACCCCUGGCACCAGUGUCUAGUGAUACUCCUGCUAAAGAAGCCACUGACUGUUGUCCAAGAAGCCUGUCAUGCUGUCUCAUGUCAGUGCUCAGUGACCGUCCACUGGAAACCAUGGUGGCCUAGGGGAAGCCACGCAUCCAAACUCUGCCUUGGAAUUUGAACAAUGCCAGGAUGCAGCAGCUUUGUCUUCCAGGUGGGCCUUUGGGAGGUUCUGCCCUGGGACCCACAGACAGUGUGUUGGCUUGAGACUAACAUGAGAUGAGCAACUCUGUGAAGAGCCACAGGAGCCACUAAAUAUAACGAUAAACCGGCAACAGCAAUUAUGUAUAUUGUGUAAUGAAAAGAGUAAGUGAUGUGGCUCAGGGGACAGCAUGACCAGCAGAAGCUCAGAGGUGGAAGAGACGCAACGAGGCAAAGGGCUUGAGCAGGUAAUGAUUGACAGCUGCAGGUAUGGAGGGCCGACACUGUGCCAGGCACUUUGCAGUCCAGGAGCCCUUCCCGCUCUGACCUGCUGCCCUGUGAUGCUGGUGUCACGGCUCGCUCUUCUGCAGACCUGCGGUAUUUGGUUCAACACUGGGAAGUCCACUUAUUGCACAACAGAAUUGAAUAUUGGCAAAUCGUUCAAUGUGCUUCGCGCUGGCUCAGCAGGUAUCCUCGCAAUUGCUGACUUUGGUUUACAUCAGAGGUUCACAGGCUUGGCUGCAUGUUAGAAUCACCCUGGGGAGCUUUUUAGAAACACCGGUGCCCGGGUUCUCCCCCAGGCCAAGCAAGUUAGACUCUCCCAGGUGGGGCUCAAACCUCAACAUUUUUCUAAAGUGGGCCGGUUGAUUCUAACGCACUGUCAGACUGGAGGGAGGCGGGGUUUGCAUGUAAAUGUCCUACUUCCCCAAGAAGAUCGUGAGCGUCUUGAAGCCUUGUCUGGUCCUCUUGCUCAGAAUGUGCUGUCUCACUUUCCUAGACGGGGUUCAUCUGAAGCCCCUCCAGAGCUGCUCCGCAGGGGCCGCAAGACUGGGCGGGCCUCCCCUCUCACUCUCUCUUGCUGCCACCUGGUGAACUUCACAUGCCCUUCAAGGUCCAGCUCCCAUGCCACCUCCUCCUUUAUUCCCGCUCCAGGGCCGGGCUACAGCAGCAAGCCAGCGAAACCAGGACCCUUCUCACACAGAGAUGACUUAUUGAGCCCCUUCUCCCUGCCAGACACCAUACCCCGAAAGGUACCAGGUGCAUCUCCAAUACACACCUGGGGCAAGUGAAGCUCAAGGAAUUUAAGAAUGUUGAAGUUGUGUCGCAAGUUUGUGAUGGUAGAUUCCAGCCUAGUUCUGUUCGACUCCCAGGGCCUGGCUGCUUCUGCCACCCUACACACAUAUUUCCUGUGCACCGAGCACCAUGCCGAGCUUUCUGUGGGUGAUACUGUAUUUCUCUCCUGCUACCUUUAUAGAACAUUACGUUGGCUGUGAACUUGUCUGAUUCUUGGGUCAGACAGGAGGGGAGGUGGAGCGUGGUGGUUAAGAAUGAAGCCCUGGAGCUGUGCUCCCUGGGUUCAAAUCCCAGCUCUGCCCUUACUAGCUGUGCAAACUUGGGCAAGAUACUUGACCUCUCUGUGUUUCAGAUGCCCCAUCUGUAAAAGGGGGUUGAUAAUAGUAGUUUCUAUUCAGGGAGUAGUAGGAGGAGUAAGGAAUAUAGUAAAGUGAUUAGAACCAUUUGGCUGUGAGGUGUUUGAGCAGCGAUCUGAGUCUUCCCCACGUCCGUGUGUCCAGAGUUAGUACGGAGUAGCCGUCAGUGGUCAGCGUUGCGAGACAUCAGAGAGAAGUCAAGGUCCUAGUAAUCGUCUCUCAAAAUCACCAACUGUUGGCUUUUUCUUUUAAAGAUUAAACACCUCCGCAGCCUCCCGCUCCAGUCCCUUGGGGCUUCUGUCAAUGGGAUUGGAGUUUGAGACACACUUUGUAUCCCUCUCCCUCUUUCCUGCCACCCGUGCCCAGAGCCUAGAGGGCAGUGGAGUGGAGACGCCCCCGGGCAUGCCCGCGAUGGGCAGGCAGGGAGAGUCCCUCCACACCCCUGCCUCUGCUCACACCAGCCACCCCUCCUCUCGACGCUUCCGAAGUCUUCCUCCCCUCCCAGCCUCUACCCCUCUGGCUGGCCUCACGAAGCCUUCCUGGGGCGGUGCUCCAGACGACACCCACCCCUCCCUCUUCUGAAUGUCUGUAAUAACGUCUGUGUU